UGAGGAAUAUUGGACAAUGGGCGAGAGCCUGAUCCAGCCAUGACGCGUGCAGGAAGACGGCCCUAUGGGUUGUAAACUGCUUUUAUACGGGAAGAAACACUCCUUCGUGAAGGAGCUUGACGGUACCGUAAGAAUAAGGAUCGGCUAACUCCGUG
RNAcentral lists this ribosomal RNA (155 nucleotides) under uncultured Bacteroidota bacterium. Its description in RNAcentral is "uncultured Bacteroidetes bacterium partial 16S ribosomal RNA". It matches the Rfam family "Bacterial small subunit ribosomal RNA", at positions 355 to 507 of the family's 1533-position model. Lineage: Bacteria; Pseudomonadati; Bacteroidota. The record is from RNAcentral.